RNAcentral lists this ribosomal RNA (127 nucleotides) under Segatella copri. Its description in RNAcentral is "partial 16S ribosomal RNA". It matches the Rfam family "Bacterial small subunit ribosomal RNA", at positions 1 to 113 of the family's 1533-position model. Lineage: Bacteria; Pseudomonadati; Bacteroidota; Bacteroidia; Bacteroidales; Prevotellaceae. The record is from RNAcentral.
UUUACAAUGGAGAGUUUGAUCCUGGCUCAGGAUGAACGCUAGCUACAGGCUUAACACAUGCAAGUCGAGGGGAAACGACAUCGAAAGCUUGCUUUUGAUGGGCGUCGACCGGCGCACGGGUGAGUAA